UGCUGACAAAAUGUUAGGUUUCAUGACGAAAAUCAAGAAACUGCUGGAAACGGUCUGCCACAACUGUGGCAAGAUAUUAGUAGAUGAAAGUAACCCAGCUUUUGCGGAUGCUAUACGUCGUCGAGACCCCAAGAAACGCUUCGACUUGGUGUGGCGGCUUUGCAAACCCAAGAUGAUCUGCGAGACCACUAUGGCCUUGGACGAUGACGCCCCCCAAGACAAGACGAAAGAGCCGAAACAUGACCAUGGUGGCUGUGGAAACAUACAACCUGAGGUGCGACGAGAAGGACUCCGACUGACUGGUACUUGGAAAGCCCAAAAAGGUGACGAGGAGAACGAGGGUCAGCAGCCUGAGAAGAAACCUAUCACACCACAAAUGGCUCUCAAUAUCUUCCGUCACAUAUCUACAGAGGAUAUUAAACGAAUGGGAUUGAGCAAUGAUUAUGCACGUCCUGAAUGGAUGAUCAUCACUGUGCUUCCCGUGCCACCUCCGCCUGUACGGCCGAGCAUUUCUGUGGAUGGAGGUAACGGUCCCCGUGGCGAAGACGACUUGACAUAUAAGCUCGGAGAUAUUAUCCGUGCAAACGGCAAUGU
This 594-nucleotide ribosomal RNA is filed under the name Usnea acromelana. RNAcentral describes it as "partial RNA polymerase II largest subunit 1". The record is from RNAcentral. Lineage: Eukaryota; Fungi; Ascomycota; Lecanoromycetes; Lecanorales; Parmeliaceae.